GACGAACGCUGGCGGCGUGCCUAACACAUGCAAGUCGAGCGAAUGAAGUUCCUUCGGGACUGGAUUUAGCGGCGGACGUGUGAGUAACACGUGGGCAACCUGCCUCAUAGAGGGGAAUAGCCUCCCGAAAGGGAGAUUAAUACCGCAUAAGAUUGUAGUACCGCAUGAUACAGCAAUUAAAGGAGCAAUCCGCUAUGAGAUGGGCCCGCGGCGCAUUAGCUAGUUGGUGAGGUAAUGGCUCACCAAGGCGACGAUGCGUAGCCGACCUGAGAGGGUGAUCGGCCACAUUGGGACUGAGACACGGCCCAGACUCCUACGGGAGGCAGCAGUGGGGAAUAUUGCACAAUGGGGGAAACCCUGAUGCAGCAACGCCGCGUGAGUGAUGACGGCCUUCGGGUUGUAAAGCUCUGUCUUCAGGGACGAUAAUGACGGUACCUGAGGAGGAAGCCACGGCUAACUACGUG
This 464-nucleotide ribosomal RNA is filed under the name uncultured bacterium. RNAcentral describes it as "partial 16S ribosomal RNA". It matches the Rfam family "Bacterial small subunit ribosomal RNA", at positions 28 to 507 of the family's 1533-position model. The record is from RNAcentral.